This 245-nucleotide ribosomal RNA is filed under the name uncultured bacterium. RNAcentral's name for it is "partial 16S ribosomal RNA". It matches the Rfam family "Bacterial small subunit ribosomal RNA", at positions 524 to 768 of the family's 1533-position model. The record is from RNAcentral.
UACGGAGGAUCCAAGCGUUAUCCGGAUUCAUUGGGUUUAAAGGGUGCGUAGGCGGAACAAUAAGUCAGCGGUGAAAUCCUGCGGCUUAACUGUAGAAUUGCCAUUGAAACUAUUGUUCUUGAGUGCAGUUGAGGUGGGCGGAACGUGUCAAGUAGCGGUGAAAUGCUUAGAUAUGACACAGAACGCCAAUUGCGAAGGCAGCUCACUAAACUGUAACUGACGCUGAGGCACGAAAGCGUGGGGAU